This 513-nucleotide ribosomal RNA is filed under the name uncultured bacterium. RNAcentral describes it as "partial 16S ribosomal RNA". It matches the Rfam family "Bacterial small subunit ribosomal RNA", at positions 28 to 523 of the family's 1533-position model. The record is from RNAcentral.
GACGAACGCUGGCGGCGUGCCUAAUACAUGCAAGUAGAACGCUGAAGACUUUAGCUUGCUAAAGUUGGAAGAGUUGCGAACGGGUGAGUAACGCGUAGGUAACCUGCCUACUAGCGGGGGAUGACUAUUGGAAACGAUAGCUAAUACCGCAUAACAGCAUCUAACCCACGUUAGAUGCUUGAAAGGAGCAAUUGCUUCACUAGUAAGUGGACCUGCGUUGUAUUAGCUAGUUGGUGAGGUAACGGCUCACCAAGGCGACGAUACAUAGCCGACCUGAGAGGGUGAUCGGCCACACUGGGACUGAGACACGGCCCAGACUCCUACGGGAGGCAGCAGUAGGGAAUCUUCGGCAAUGGGGGCAACCCUGACCGAGCAACGCCGCGUGAGUGAAGAAGGCUUUCGGAUCGUAAAGCUCUGUUGUAAGAGAAGAACGUGUGUGAGAGUGGAAAGUUCACACAGUGACAGUAACUUACCAGAAAGGGACGGCUAACUACGUGCCAGCCGCCGCGGUAA